Molecule: ribosomal RNA, 300 nt
Filed under: uncultured Phyllobacterium sp.
Lineage: Bacteria; Pseudomonadati; Pseudomonadota; Alphaproteobacteria; Hyphomicrobiales; Phyllobacteriaceae
Description: bacterial SSU rRNA
Rfam family: Bacterial small subunit ribosomal RNA
Source: RNAcentral
GCUAACUUCGUGCCAGCAGCCGCGGUAAUACGAAGGGGGCUAGCGUUGUUCGGAUUUACUGGGCGUAAAGCGCACGUAGGCGGACUAUUAAGUCAGGGGUGAAAUCCCGGGGCUCAACCCCGGAACUGCCUUUGAUACUGGUAGUCUUGAGUUCGAGAGAGGUGAGUGGAAUUCCGAGUGUAGAGGUGAAAUUCGUAGAUAUUCGGAGGAACACCAGUGGCGAAGGCGGCUCACUGGCUCGAUACUGACGCUGAGGUGCGAAAGCGUGGGGAGCAAACAGGAUUAGAUACCCUUGUAGUC